UGGGCUUUUUUCUUUGGUGAAACAAUGUGU
Molecule: non-coding RNA, 30 nt
Filed under: Rattus norvegicus (Norway rat)
Lineage: Eukaryota; Metazoa; Chordata; Mammalia; Rodentia; Muridae
Source: RNAcentral